Molecule: non-coding RNA, 100 nt
Organism: Sesamum indicum (sesame)
Lineage: Eukaryota; Viridiplantae; Streptophyta; Magnoliopsida; Lamiales; Pedaliaceae
Source: RefSeq, a predicted model, not a curated record
CUUGUUACGACUUCUCCUUCCUCUAAAUGAUAAGGUUCAGUGGACUUCUCGCGACGUCGCGAGCAGCGAACCGCCCACGUCGCCUCGAUAGAUGGGAAGA